Non-coding RNA from Vicugna pacos (alpaca), 309 nucleotides. Lineage: Eukaryota; Metazoa; Chordata; Mammalia; Artiodactyla; Camelidae. The record is from RefSeq and is a predicted model, not a curated record.
AACGGGGGCCGAGACCCCGGCGCCCACAGGGCUGCUUGGCGGGUGUCAGCAUGUGACGCUGACUUGGCCUCAGAGCUGGAAACUCUGGCGAAUGCAGACAGGACCGAACUUCCUUAGUCAUCGCGCUGAUGAUACAGGAUAAGAUACUCUCUCGUGAUGCUGAGCAGUGGCCGCAGCCGCAGCACCCCAUCAGCCAUGUGAUCAUGAGGGUGAACGACCGAUAUGCUUACAACCAUUAUGCACCCACAUAACCAUUCUGGCUUUGAUUCUCAGUACAGUAUUCGAUAAAUUACAUGAGAUGUUAUAAAA